CAAAUACAGUUUAUGGCCUUAAAAAGUUGUAUGUGUGUUUUCAACACCUAUUAUUGGCCUCUAUUUUCAUUUUUGGAGUGUGGACCAUAAUUCUCAGUGAGCAUUGUUCUUCCUGCAACUAUUAUAAGAUUUCUCAUGAACUAUAGAAAUGUUCAUUGGGAUAAUUCAGUGUUAUAUGGUUGUUAUUUGGGAAGGAAUAUUCUUUCUUUGCUUUAAUGUUUUCUCUUGGAUCUAUUGUUUAUAUGCUUAAAAAUCUAACAUCUUUAUUCUCAUUCCAAUGUUUUUUUAGAUCAUAUAAAUUAUGGGUCAGGUUAACAGUUGCUAUUUUUUACUUAUUUGUCAAUUUGACAGGUAAGUGCCCCAAGAGUAUGUG
This 373-nucleotide unclassified non-coding RNA is filed under the name Hevea brasiliensis (rubber tree). The record is from RNAcentral. Lineage: Eukaryota; Viridiplantae; Streptophyta; Magnoliopsida; Malpighiales; Euphorbiaceae.